GGGUUCGUAUGUAGGUCUAGCGAGUCUACCUCCACCCGUGUUUACUGUACCUUAGUUGCUUCGGCGGGCCCGCCAUUCGGGGCCGCCGGGGGCUCUCAGCCCCGGGCCCGCGCCCGCCGGAGACACCACGAACUCUGUCUGAUCUAGUGAAGUCUGAGUUGAUUGUAUCGCAAUCAGUUAAAACUUUCAACAAUGGAUCUCUUGGUUCCGGCAUCGAUGAAGAACGCAGCGAAAUGCGAUAACUAGUGUGAAUUGCAUAAUUCCGUGAAUCAUCGAGUCUUUGAACGCACAUUGCGCCCCCUGGUAUUCCGGGGGGCAUGCCUGUCCGAGCGUCAUUGCUGCCCAUCAAGCACGGCUUGUGUGUUGGGUCGUCGUCCCCUCUCCGGGGGGGACGGGCCCCAAAGGCAGCGGCGGCACCGCGUCCGAUCCUCGUGCGUAUGGGGCUUUGUCACCCGCUCUGUAGGCCCGGCCAGCGCUUGUUUAACUCAAAUCAAUCUUUUUCCUGGUUGACCUCGGAUCAGGUAGGGAUACCCGCUGAACUUAAGCAUAUCAGUACGCCGGAGGAAUUUCAUCUACCGAAUAAGCCUGAAACAAGUAUGU
This 600-nucleotide ribosomal RNA is filed under the name Aspergillus flavus. RNAcentral's name for it is "eukaryotic LSU rRNA". The stretch from base 182 to 335 matches the Rfam family "5.8S ribosomal RNA". The record is from RNAcentral. Lineage: Eukaryota; Fungi; Ascomycota; Eurotiomycetes; Eurotiales; Aspergillaceae.